UAGUAAGUCAUCUAGGCUUUUGUGAAGAGAAAGAGGGAGAAAGAAACAAGCAACUUAAAUAUGGAACACCUGAAAGAUCAGCCAUGGAUGGCAUCUGCAGAUCAGCUGUGUAACAACUUCUAAUAUAAUCAAGGACAACAUCUCAAUUGGUAGAAUAGAAUAUAGAAUCUACUUCAGUAGGUUCUUACAGCCCCUCUCUUUUGUUAAUGAUACAUUUAUUUCAAUUUAUUUUUUUUAAAUAAGCCUUUAAUAGUUACUUGGGAACACUUUGGCCUUAUCCACUGCAACAACUUGCUCCAUUGCAGUUACAUCUGACAAUAGAAAAACCCAAACAAAUGCUCCUGGUUGCUCAUUCCCACAGAUUUAUUUUGGUUUCAAAAUGUUAAUAAAUUAGCUGGAAUGCUCUCAGGAUGCUUUUAUGAGCAGCUGCAGAGCAGCAGAACUUUGUGCACAGCUGGACAAUGUUUGUGUGAAGCCCAACCACAGAAAGCACUCACAGACAGCUGAGUUACAGUUCUCAUCAUGCCUUGUAGCUUUGUCUCCAAAAUGAAGCAUGCUUCAGCUGUUUUAACAACAUUUUCCAUAGAGUCUAAGCACUUUUUGACAAGUGUGGUGGGUUUUUUUAACAAUGUAUUUUGGAAGAAUUUAUACCAUUAUUUUGGAAAUUGUGCAAUAUCAUGAAUGGUUGACUACAACAAAAGAAAAACUGAUUUCAUGUGAUCUGUGAACAACUGCAGUGCAUAAGUAGAAGUCCAAAACUUUUUUCUGAGUAAUCUGUAUUUCUGCUUUUUCAGACUUUCAGGUGAUCCCUGAAAAUAGCAGCAUAUUCUGAAAUAUCCAGAUUUUCCGCAUUUCAAUAUUUCAUAAGCUCAACAUUAUUCUUAUUUCAGCAGUUACAUUCAGCUGGCUUGUGCAUAAUUUGAAAAAUGCUAAUGUUAAAGUAUUAUAAUUCUAAUUCUCAGGUGCCUCUAACUAAAGGUUUCUCAAGAUUGACUAGAUUUCUACACAACUGUGAAAUCUGUUCAGUUACAGAUCUCAAAUCCUACCCAAGGACUGGGGGACAGGAGAGAAUGUGAAGUAAACAACCUUUCUGUGGGCUCUUUGUGAACCUUGCAAGAACUUGGUAUCACUGAGGUGACUAAGGAGCUGCCUGAGGGAAAGUGGGACACUUCACAGCAGGUCUUUGUAGAAAAAAAAUCACUUAAAGUGAACAGAUCUACACAAAUGGAAGUGUCAGCCCUGGAAUCACAACCUACAAGACAUUUUUGCUUUCUUAGCUUGUUCUCUUUUCUCUGUACAGAGCAGCACUGGAUAAGUGAUGCAUCAUCUGGGCCUUAAAGCAGGUUGAUGUGAUACACUUCGUUACCAGAGCAUCUGCCAUACAUUUUCUGCCAUUGUUCUGGUGAUUGCUGACUCUCCCUGAAUCACAAAGAGAAUAAUUUAACACUUAAUGCAAAAUUCUUAUUAAUCAGAAUGGUACUUCGUGUAAAUAGAAACUACAAAUGUCUACUGAAAAGGUCCCACAGGCUAAUCUGAAAAGUAUUUGAGAUCAAAAGUACAGAAGAAGUAUUUGAGAUAUUAUUAAAGUUCUGAAUUCCACAAACAGCUGGGAAGACAACAGGAUUAUUUGAACCUCCUUAACAGUGCUGAAGGAAAAUUCCCUGACAGCUGUUAGGAACAGUGCUCUUCUUUUAAUGUGCAUGUAAUAUGAAAUAACUGGAACAGGCUCUGGAUUCUGUGCAUGUCACAGCAUUAAAAGGUAGGCAGAUACAAAAUGGAUAAAGAAUGUACUUCACCACAGUGCUCAGCAGGUAUCCAAACAACAUUUUGUUGUGUUUCUUCUAGGAGAUUCUAGUGCACAGUGCCACUAAAAUCUUGACAUUUGCUGUUCUCAGUUGUAACAGUUCUAGGAUGAAUUUCUGUUUUCCCCAUUCUGGGCAAAAGGGAAUACUAGAAAUGUCAUAUAGAAGGUUAAAUAACUCUGCUUAUAAAUAAACACAUACUGAGUUCAUGGUUACUUGAAAAAGAAGUUAGCAUGUUACAAGACUUAUGUAGUGUAUGUGCAGCUAUUCCAUUUCUACAAAUAUAUUUAGAGAGUCACUCUUUAUUGCAGCUGUGUGCCCACGACAUUUCAAUCAAGAAUACCUUAUUAUUCCAAGAAUACAGCAUAAAAGCGAUACACCAGAUCUGGUAAAAUUAUUUUAGUGAAUUGAGGGAAGUUCUACUGUGACUAUGCAGUCUGCAGAGACACCAUAAUUCUGCACCCCUUCCAGCACUGUGGUCAUGUUAAAAAUAAAAAUCAUCUAUAUUUGUUUGCCUCUUAACAUACAGGCACAGAAGAGCAAAUACCAUAUGUCAUCAAAAACCUCUUUUUUUUUUU
Molecule: long non-coding RNA, 2380 nt
Organism: Passer domesticus (house sparrow)
Lineage: Eukaryota; Metazoa; Chordata; Aves; Passeriformes; Passeridae
Exons: 7
Source: RefSeq, a predicted model, not a curated record